AAUGAGGUUAAAAUGUUAGGUUUGGAGAUGAAGAGGCUCUGCCAGAACAGGAGCAUCAGGGACAGAGUAUUUGAAGGGCUGCUCUGAGGGGAAGAAUUUGCCGGGCUUCCCUCUAGCGGGUGGAAUUUCCUACCUAGGUGAAGCAGGUAUAUCAGCAGGUAGGGAACUCAAGUCUUUCCUCCCCCACCCCACCUUACCUGAGAUCCUUGACCUAUCAGACAAAAGCCCAGCUUGGACCCUUCCCUAUUGGACUGCUGAGUCUGCAAGAAUGUGGCUGUGUGUGAGCUGUGUGCACAGAGAAUGAAUGGGUGGGUGUUUCCUCCGAGCUGUGUGGCAGCAUGGUCCCUAAAUGACAGAAACAGCCACAGGAACCUGCUCAGCAUGUCCCCUCCCCCAGAGGGUGCACAAACAGGGCCCUAGCUUCCCUUAGCUCCCCUUUUUGAAUGGUAAAUAUGGGUAAAGUUUAUUGCGAACUUGCUCUGUGCUGGGUGCUGUGCAAAGCCCUUCCUUUGGUUCCGCUGACUAAGCCUGUGGCAGGGCACUUUGUAUUCAUGUCCCCAUUCCCUGGAGAGGAAAUGUAGCACACAAAUUGCCCAGGCCCCAUCUUACCAUCACUGACUGCGUGGGCAACUCCAUGGCCCUGGAAGGCAGGGGCAGUAGGCCGGCCCCACACAGAAGUAGACACAGCUGCUCUCCAUCACCCCUGAGUCAGUCCUAUGUUUGUGGUGUGCUGGGACGGUGCAGGAGACUCAGCUGUUGCUCAGGAAUCACACACAGUCCACGAAAGCCAUGGCCAAGGCCAAAGGCUCAAGGAAAAGCCCACAUUUAAGACACCUGAAGACUGUGGGAGAUCAGACCCCUUCUCAGACCAAGUGUCAGCACCUGCAUCCUGGUCAGUCCGGGAAGACGCUGGAGAGGGAAGAAAGGGCUCAGAGUGUUGUGUGGGUGGCAUGCUCCUUCUGGGCCCCUCCAAAGAAGAGUGCUCAAGGCGGGACACAUGCUCCUCUCCUUGGCCACUGGCUUAUCUGAGAGUGGGAGAGAGGGACUGAAGGAACAGGCCAGCGAGACACAGGCAAAUGUAAGUGGCUGCAAAAGUGGACCCAGCAGAAGUCAUAGGACCAGCCCCACAACAAGUACCUUGGGUAGGAACUAUGAAGACAGAUUCCCAGAACUUUCUUCCCAUCCCCCAAACAAGGUCAUGGUGACCUUCCUCCCUACUCACCUGGGACUUAUUUUAUAGGCCAGCAUUUGGGAGCCUGUGGUCAGCCAGGGUUCACCAAGGAAAGGCUGCGCUGCACUCUCACCUGAGAGCAAGGGUCCCUUGCCAUCUCAGCCAGGCUUCCUCUCACCCAGAGACUCCAAAAGCAGCUAAAACCAGAAGUGGGAAGAACAGGAGUGAAACAGCAAACCAAACUCCACUCAGUGCUGUGCUGAUAAGCAUUUCACCACCAGCAGUCAGGAGGAGGAAGAGGGAAGCCCUGAUUUGUGGUGUCUACUGAUCUCAAGCUGCCCUGGUGACGCCACUGAACGCGGGACUGGAGACACAGGCAGUGGCUCAACACUUUCCCACCCAGAGGCUGUGUAUGCAAGCAGCCUCAAAGAAAGGGUGAGGUCCUAUCAUUGGCUACCACAGGAAUGGAGCUGAAGGAUGUUAUGUUAAGUGCAAUAAGCCAGGCACGGAAAAACAAGUCCCACAUGACCUUACUCAUAUGUGGAACCUAACAAAGCCGAUCUCACAGAAGUUGAGAAUAGAGUGGUGGUUACCAGAGGCUGGGUAGGACGGGGGAGGCAGGCAUGGGGCAAGACUGGUCAAGGGGUACUCAGCUACAGUUACAGGAGAAAUAAGUUCCCUUGUGUUUUAUUACCCAAUAGGGCAACUAUAGAUAAUGUACCACAUAUUUCAAAAAAAGCUAGAAGAAAGGAUUUUGAAUGUUUCCAUCACAAAGAAAUGAUAAAUGUUUGGGUAGAUAGAUGUGCUUUUCCUGAUUUGGACAUUAUUUGAUGUAUACAUAUAUUGAAAUAUCA
RNAcentral lists this long non-coding RNA (2025 nucleotides) under Marmota monax (woodchuck). The record is from RNAcentral. Lineage: Eukaryota; Metazoa; Chordata; Mammalia; Rodentia; Sciuridae.